GAUGAACGCUGGCGGCGUGCUUAACACAUGCAAGUCGAACGGAAAGGCCCAAGCUUUCUUGGGUAGUCGAGUGGCGAACGGGCGAGUAGCACGUGGGCGAUCUGACCUGCUCUGCGGGGUAAACCUGAGAGACUCGGACGAAUACGUGACAGGACGGUGUCUGCGGUACCGUUCUGGAAAGAUUUUUCGGUGUGGUAUGAGGUGGCGGCGUAUCAGCUUGUUGGUGGGUAGAUGGUUUACCAAGGCGUCGACGGGUAGCCGGCCGGUGAGUGUGUAGAGCCGCAUUGGGGCUGAGAUGAGGCCCACAGUACUACGGCGGGCGGCAGUGGGGAAGAUUUCACGAUGAGGGGCAGCAUGAUGAAGCAACGCCGCGGGGGGGAUGAAGGCGUUCGGGUUGUAAACUCAUUUCGCUAGGGACGAAGCGCUAUCGUGACGGUACCUGAAGAAGAAGCACCGGCUAACUACGUG
This 468-nucleotide ribosomal RNA is filed under the name uncultured bacterium. RNAcentral's name for it is "partial 16S ribosomal RNA". It matches the Rfam family "Bacterial small subunit ribosomal RNA", at positions 28 to 507 of the family's 1533-position model. The record is from RNAcentral.